CCUACGGGCGGCAGCAGUGGGGGAUAUUGCACAAUGGGCGAAACCCUGAUGCAGCGACGCCGCGUGUGGGAAGACGGUCCUCUGGAUUGUAAACCACUGUCCCCAGGGACGAAAAUGACGGUACCUGGGGAGGAAGCUCCGGCUAACUACGUGCCAGCAGCAGCGGUAAUACGUAGGGAGCGAGCGUCGUCCGGAAUUACGGGGUGAAAAGGGAGCGUAGGCGGGGAUGCAAGUUGGGUGUAAAAACUACCGGCUCAACUGGUAGUCGCACUCAAAACUGCAGCUCUUGAGUGAAGUAGAGGCAGGUGGAAUUCCUAGUGUAGCGGUGAAAUGCGUAGAUAUUAGGAGGAACACCAGUGGCGAAGGCGGCCUGCUGGGCUUUUACUGACGCUGAGGCUCGAAAGUGUGGGGAGCAAACAGGAUUAGAUACCCCUGUAGUC
This 440-nucleotide ribosomal RNA is filed under the name uncultured bacterium. RNAcentral's name for it is "partial 16S ribosomal RNA". It matches the Rfam family "Bacterial small subunit ribosomal RNA", at positions 338 to 795 of the family's 1533-position model. The record is from RNAcentral.